RNAcentral lists this ribosomal RNA (454 nucleotides) under uncultured bacterium. RNAcentral's name for it is "bacterial SSU rRNA". It matches the Rfam family "Bacterial small subunit ribosomal RNA", at positions 29 to 524 of the family's 1533-position model. The record is from RNAcentral.
AACGAACGCUGGCGGCAUGCCUAACACAUGCAAGUCGAACGCCUAUAGCAAUAUAGGAGUGGCGCACGGGUGAGUAACGCGUGGGAACCUGCCCCGAGGUGGGGGAUAACCGAUGGAAACGUCGGCUAAUACCGCAUACGUCCUAAGGGAGAAAGAUUUAUCGCCUUGGGAGGGGCCCGCGUCGGAUUAGCUAGUUGGUGGGGUAACGGCCUACCAAGGCGAUGAUCCGUAGCUGGUCUGAGAGGAUGAUCAGCCACACUGGGACUGAGACACGGCCCAGACUCCUACGGGAGGCAGCAGUGGGGAAUAUUGGACAAUGGGCGCAAGCCUGAUCCAGCAAUGCCGCGUGAGUGAUGAAGGCCUUAGGGUUGUAAAGCUCUUUUCGGCGGGGGACGAUGAUGACGGUACCCGCAGAAGAAGCCCCGGCUAACUUCGUGCCAGCCGCCGCCGUAAU